CCUACGGGAGGCAGCAGUGGGGAAUAUUGCGCAAUGGGGGAAACCCUGACGCAGCAACGCCGCGUGAAUGAUGAAGGCCUUCGGGUUGUAAAGUUCUGUCUUCUGGGACGAUAAUGACGGUACCAGAGGGGAAGCACG
RNAcentral lists this ribosomal RNA (138 nucleotides) under uncultured bacterium WB19. RNAcentral describes it as "partial 16S ribosomal RNA". It matches the Rfam family "Bacterial small subunit ribosomal RNA", at positions 338 to 494 of the family's 1533-position model. The record is from RNAcentral.